UACGGAGGGUGCGAGCGUUGUCCGGAAUCACUGGGCGUAAAGGGCGCGUAGGCGGCCUGAUAAGUAGGAGGUGAAAUCCUGCGGCUUAACCGCAGGGCUGCCUUCUAAACUGUCAGGCUCGAGCACAGUAGAGGCAGGUGGAAUUCCCGGUGUAGCGGUGGAAUGCGUAGAGAUCGGGAGGAACACCGGUGGCGAAGGCGGGUCUCUGGGCCGAUACUGACGCUGAGGAGCGAAAGCGUGGGGAGCGAACAGG
Molecule: ribosomal RNA, 253 nt
Filed under: uncultured bacterium
Lineage: Bacteria
Description: partial 16S ribosomal RNA
Rfam family: Bacterial small subunit ribosomal RNA
Source: RNAcentral